GUUGGCGGGGACGGCCGGAGGGGCCGGAGUGUCUGUCUGCCCGGCCCUGCCUACCAUGGCAUAGAGCGCGUCGUCAGUUCGCGUGGCGGAGGAGCUUCGGCCCACUUCAGAGGAACAACGCAACCCCAAAUUCCCUUUGGAGGCCAUCAGAAAUUCGUCACCAGAUGACCACAUGGCUCACAGGCAAGAACACUUGUACCUGCGAGAAAAAGCCCACGCAAAGCACCACGAUGAGGAUGGUGACGAUGAAGGCCGAGGCAGCGGCGAUGGCGCCCAGCAGCAGG
This is a long non-coding RNA of Hippocampus comes (tiger tail seahorse), 284 nucleotides long. RefSeq lists it as uncharacterized. NCBI's taxonomy places the organism in Eukaryota, Metazoa, Chordata, Actinopteri, Syngnathiformes, Syngnathidae. The record is from RefSeq and is a predicted model, not a curated record. The transcript has 3 exons.